Molecule: ribosomal RNA, 460 nt
Filed under: uncultured bacterium
Lineage: Bacteria
Description: partial 16S ribosomal RNA
Rfam family: Bacterial small subunit ribosomal RNA
Source: RNAcentral
CCUACGGGUGGCAGCAGUGAGGAAUCUUGGUCAAUGGACGAGAGUCUGAACCAGCCACGUAGCGUGAAGGAUGACUGCCCUAUGGGUUGUAAACUUCUUUUAUAUGGGAAUAAAAUGUUCCACGUGUGGGAUUUUGUAUGUACCAUAUGAAUAAGGAUCGGCUAACUCAGUGCCAGCAGCCGCGGUAAUACGGAGGAUCCGAGCGUUCUCCGGAUUUAUUGGGUUUAAAGGGAGCGUAGGUGGAUUGUUAAGUCAGUUGUGAAAGUUUGCGGCUCAACCGUAAAAUUGCAGUUGAAACUGGCAGUCUUGAGUACAGUAGAGGUGAGCGGAAUUCGAGGUGUAGCGGUGAAAUGCUUAGAUAUCACGAAGAACUCCGAUUGCGAAGGCAGUUCACUGGACUGCAACUGACACUGAGGCUCGAAAGUGUGGGUAUCAAACAGGAUUAGAUACCCGAGUAGUC